RNAcentral lists this ribosomal RNA (720 nucleotides) under uncultured bacterium. Its description in RNAcentral is "bacterial SSU rRNA". It matches the Rfam family "Bacterial small subunit ribosomal RNA", at positions 63 to 788 of the family's 1533-position model. The record is from RNAcentral.
CGAACGGUUGGUAGCAAUACCAAUAGUGGCGCACGGGUGCGUAACGCGUAACCAACCUACCCGAAUCUGGGGGAUAGCCCGCCGAAAGGCGGAUUAAUACCGCAUAAAACUGCAGCCUGGCAUCAGGCAACAGUUAAAGAUUUAUUGGAUUCGGAUGGGGUUGCGUGCCAUUAGCUAGUUGGCGGGGUAACGGCCCACCAAGGCGACGAUGGCUAGGGGAGCUGAGAGGCUGGUCCCCCACACGGGCACUGAGAUACGGGCCCGACUCCUACGGGAGGCAGCAGUAGGGAAUAUUGGGCAAUGGUCGAGAGACUGACCCAGCCAUGCCGCGUGCAGGAUGAAGGCUUUCUGAGUCGUAAACUGCUUUUACCAGGGAAGAAAAAAGGGGAUGCGUCCUCUACUGACGGUACCUGGUGAAUAAGCACCGGCUAACUCCGUGCCAGCAGCCGCGGUAAUACGGAGGGUGCAAGCGUUGUCCGGAUUUAUUGGGUUUAAAGGGUGCGUAGGCGGCUGAUUAAGUCUGGGGUGAAAGCCCGUUGCUCAACAACGGAACUGCCCUGGAAACUGGUUAGCUUCAGUACAGACGAGGGUGGCGGAAUGGAUACUGUAGCGGUGAAAUGCAUAGAUAGUAUCCAGAACCCCGAUUGCGAAGGCAGCUGCCUAGACUGUAACUGACGCUGAGGCACGAAAGCGUGGGGAGCGAACAGGAUUAGAUACCCU